AUACAGAGGGUGCAAGCGUUAUUCGGAAUUACUGGGCGUAAAGCGCGCGUAGGCGGAUGAUUAAGUCAGUUGUGAAAGCCCUGGGCUCAACCUAGGAACUGCAUCUGAUACUGGUCGUCUAGAGUUUAAGAGAGGGAAGUGGAAUUCCAGGUGUAGCAGUGAAAUGCGUAGAUAUCUGGAGGAACAUCAGUGGCGAAGGCGACUUCCUGGCUUAAAACUGACGCUGAGGUGCGAAAGCGUGGGUAGCGAACGGGAUUAGAAACCCCUGUAGUCC
Molecule: ribosomal RNA, 274 nt
Filed under: uncultured bacterium
Lineage: Bacteria
Description: partial 16S ribosomal RNA
Rfam family: Bacterial small subunit ribosomal RNA
Source: RNAcentral